Molecule: transfer-messenger RNA, 381 nt
Filed under: Sphingobium sp.
Lineage: Bacteria; Pseudomonadati; Pseudomonadota; Alphaproteobacteria; Sphingomonadales; Sphingobiaceae
Rfam family: Alphaproteobacteria transfer-messenger RNA
About the family: Bacterial tmRNA, also known as 10Sa RNA or SsrA, is named for its dual tRNA and mRNA-like properties.
Source: RNAcentral
UCACUUUUCAUUCAGGACGAACACCCUAUAUAGGGUCUCGCCGGGUUUGCCCGGCUAUGACGAUAAAGUGUGUCGUGUACUAGACGCAGCGGACCCGGGGGCAGUACCCGGCGGCUCCACCAGAUACCCUGCGAUGCAGGGUGCCUGACGGGGCCGAACCAGGAUCGACGUGUGUUGAAAAGCGAUAUUUUCGUCCGGCCCGAGUAAGCCGUAAAACUGUUCAAAACCUACAAGUGCCAACGAUAACGAGGCUCUUGCUCUUGCUGCGUAAUUGAGGGGCUCACGCCCUGACAUUACUCAAAAAGAACGCGGUUGGACCCACCGGGCAACAGAAGGGAUUCCAGCGGUACGGGGAGCACCGGGCAACAGAAGCUCCCCACU